GUGGCUCGUGGCUCGGACACACUCCACAGAGCAAUCACAAUAUAGUGAAUACAGUAGACUGUAUACCAUUGAAAAAACCCUAAGGACAAAGCUUAUCGAGAAAUGAGCGAUUGUCCAACCCUUGGUUUACACUGCACACCCUGCACACAUUCAAAAUACUUUGGAAAAUGAAAGGGUGGUGCAUUUGCCAUCGAUUUUCAAGAUGUGUGUGGUCAAUGGGGUAUUUGCAUGACAACUACGUAUUGAUUCUGUGACUUACUUGCAGCCGGGUUGUUGCAUACGAGAUAGAUGUUGGUUUAGAGUGGGUGUAGUUGUUAUCACGUCAUGUGUUGGUCAGAACAUAGUUAAUAGAAUUGAUGGUUUGGAAAC
This is a non-coding RNA of Paramuricea clavata, 369 nucleotides long. The record is from the annotation of a GenBank genome assembly. Lineage: Eukaryota; Metazoa; Cnidaria; Anthozoa; Malacalcyonacea; Plexauridae.